Long non-coding RNA from Etheostoma cragini (Arkansas darter), 124 nucleotides. RefSeq lists it as uncharacterized. The record is from RefSeq and is a predicted model, not a curated record. The transcript is spliced from 3 exons. Lineage: Eukaryota; Metazoa; Chordata; Actinopteri; Perciformes; Percidae.
UGGGACUUGAGUUUGAGACUCAGACCGGAGUGACAAUUAAGUCACACACACAGUGACUUCAGACUUGAUUUGAGACUCGUCCUCAAAAGACUUCAGACUCGACCUCGAGAGGUGGGUCACGUGA